Long non-coding RNA from Equus caballus (horse), 1980 nucleotides. The record is from Ensembl. NCBI's taxonomy places the organism in Eukaryota, Metazoa, Chordata, Mammalia, Perissodactyla, Equidae.
CCCUUUGUUCUUUCUGUACCUCCAUUACCACCCACGCCUGAAAAUGGUUUGGGGCAGCACUUAAGAAACGCUUCACAAGACUCCAUUUCAGGCAGUUUUCAAAAGAAAAUAAUAUAUACAUAAACAGACUUGGCGGUUUGGACAGAGGUCCCCUGCCUAUUCACCGCCCUAUGUGAAAAAGCUCUUUGUAAAGGGCACUGGGAGAGAGGGUAGCUGGUGGGGGUGGCUUCAGACAAAAUUCUUGUCUUCAUUUUGCUGUUGUUUUUCAUCUCCACCCCCAUAUGUUUCUCACCACACCCUGAGCUGACUGCUUUCUUGCCCCAGGAAAUUGUCCAUCACAAAACAGAGAAGAAUGGGAGCACUUUAGAAAUGUAAAUUUACGGACAUGUUUCCAAGGCUGUGGCGAACUAGAAGACGUUCUCAGCUCCUGCUUCUCAUGAGUCAGUUUAAGGUUCAUCUUAAGGUGGCUGGGUCGAGCAAAUAAAAACACAAGAGCACUUUAUUAUAGUUACAGCUUGAUCACCUCGACUCUUCUGAAAACCAUGCAAGAGAGUUUACGAGUCCGCAUUCAACAGACGUAAAUACUGAGACCCGAAGAUGAUUCUCGAUCCAGGACCGUUACUACACUUGUCUACAAAGAAAUGUUAAUAUCAAUGUUUCUAUUAAACCCAGAUGUAGCCUCUAAUUUAUAAUAAGCAUUGUAAACCAGUGCUUCUCAAAUGCUAAUGUGCAUACAAAUCCCUGGGGUCUUGAUAACAAGCAGACUGAUCCAGCAGGUCCGAGUGGAGACACUGGUGGGUGGAGACAAGCUCCAGGUGAUGUGAUGCUGCCUGACCAUGGACCUUGGGCAUCAAGGAACUCAACCUGACCUCGGUGGCUUUGGCUGUGUCAGCUCUGACAUUUAUUGGAUUCAGCGUUCUCUGCUGUGGCGUCGUUUUCAUCAUUCCCCUACGUUACAAAGCACUUAGCAAACACAGUGGCUGAAAAAAUGGACUGAGAGUUCUGUGCUUUGGCACUGUUUAUCUCCAUUAACAAAUGGGAAACAGUGCUUUGGAAAAAUGUGGGUUUUUUCUCAUUGUACUCUAAGUCAUCUUCUAAAAGCUAAAUGUAAGUGAUACAUAGGCUCAACAUUUCAGCCUUCAUAGUUUUAAUUCAGAGGCUUACCUGUGGGACUUGAUUGAGUGGCAACACUGGUAUGCAAAGGAAAAUAUCUACAAAGUUAGCAUUGCUUCAUAUCUUCAGUAUCUUUACUUCUUCAUUUGAACACAGAUGUGUGGAAAACUCACAAUUUUUACUUCGCAAAAGUAACCAAUCCGUGUUUUGUUGGUGGUGGGAUUUUUCUUGUUUUUUUAAUUUGGUCUGGUUUUUUGGUUUUUUAAAGUUAUUCACUCUUACCUUUAAGAUAAAUACUUUUCUUGGCUUGUGUCAGAAAAAAAUGACCAACUUUCCAAAGAUGAAUUCCAACCUAAGAACGCAGGCAGCUCUUGACGUCAAAAUCGAGACGUCAAAGAGGAGAGCAGUGUUUGUUUGGAAAAAGAUCUGCCAGUUGACAGUGUCCUGAAAAUCAGCCUCUUACAGUUCCCAAGAGGACUGACAGAAGAGUUUUCAAAGGUCUCCAAAACUGUCUGCUCUUUGUUUGGGGGAAAAAGAGAAAAGAAUGAGAAACAUCACCCCUUUGACACACAUACACACUCAAACACACCUACACUCACUGUGGUGUGAGCGUGUUCUCGUUCUUUGUUUUUGGAAAGUUACCACAUUUUUCAGCAAUGACAGAGAAUAAUGGUGUCUCCUUACCCUUGCACAAACCAUCACGUUAAUGUUUGUGACAGAUUAUUGCACAAAUGACCCCAGUCCUCCACUCCUCCCUAUGUCUCUGGUGGUGCCAUCCCACACUGACUCUGUGUGGGAGGAAUGAGACUUGUUUUGGCCAAUAGGAGAGCAGCAAACUUGAUGCAAGCAGAAGCUUGUAAAAGUAUG